UAGGGAAUUUUGCGCAAUGGGGGAAACCCUGACGCAGCAACGCCAUGUGUGGGAUGAAGCAUUUCGGUGUGUAAACCACUGUCAGCAGGGAAUAAACGGCAGCUUCGGGCUGCUUUGAAUGUACCUGCAAAGGAAGCCCCGGCUAACUUCGUGCCAGCAGCCGCGGUAAUACGAGGGGGGCAAAUGUUGUUCGGAAUCACUGGGCGUAAAGGGAGCGUAGGCGGGUUUUUAAGUCAGGUGUUUAAUCCCGGGGCCCAACCCCGGACCGGCACUUGAAACUGGGAAUCUUGAAUAGUGGAGAGGUCAGUGGAAUUGGGGGUGUAGCGGUGGAAUGCGUAGAGAUCCCCAAGAACACCAGUUGCGAAGGCGGCUGACUGGACACAUAUUGACGCUGAGGCUCGAAAGCAUGGGGAGCAAACAGGAUUAGAUACCCCCGUAGUCC
RNAcentral lists this ribosomal RNA (442 nucleotides) under uncultured bacterium. RNAcentral describes it as "bacterial SSU rRNA". It matches the Rfam family "Bacterial small subunit ribosomal RNA", at positions 355 to 796 of the family's 1533-position model. The record is from RNAcentral.